This 509-nucleotide unclassified non-coding RNA is filed under the name uncultured Glomus. RNAcentral's name for it is "SSU rRNA". It matches the Rfam family "Eukaryotic small subunit ribosomal RNA", at positions 569 to 1082 of the family's 1831-position model. Lineage: Eukaryota; Fungi; Glomeromycota; Glomeromycetes; Glomerales; Glomeraceae. The record is from RNAcentral.
AGCAGCCGCGGUAAUUCCAGCUCCAAUAGCGUAUAUUAAAGUUGUUGCAGUUAAAAGCUCGUAGUUGAAUUUCGGAAUCAAUGGAUCGGUCAUGCCACUCGGUGUGUACUGGUUUGAUUGGUUCUCACCUUCUAAGGAACCGUGAUGUCAUUAAUUUGGUGUCGCGGGAAUUAGGACUGUUACUUUGAAAAAUUGAGUGUUUAAAGCAAGCUCACGCUUGAAUACAUUAGCAUGGAAUAAUGAAAUAGGACAUUGUAUUCUAUUUUGUUGGUUUCUAGGAUCGAUGUAAUGAUUAAUAGGGAUAGUUGGGGGCAUUAGUAUUCAAUUGUCAGAGGUGAAAUUCUUGGAUUUAUUGAAGACUAACUACUGCGAAAGCAUUUGCCAAGGAUGUUUCAUUAAUCAAGAACGAAAGUUAGGGGAUCGAAGACGAUCAGAUACCGUCGUAGUCUUAACCAUAAACUAUGCCGACUAGGGAUCGGAUGAUGUUUAAUUUUUAAUUGACUCAUUCC